GCGGGUGUGGCGGAAUUGGCAGACGCACUAGACUUAGGAUCUAGCGCCACGUGCGUGGGGGUUCAAGUCCCUCCACCCGCACCA
Molecule: transfer RNA, 84 nt
Filed under: Geosporobacter subterraneus DSM 17957
Lineage: Bacteria; Bacillati; Bacillota; Clostridia; Peptostreptococcales; Thermotaleaceae
Also listed under: 4 other names
Description: tRNA_Leu_TAG
Rfam family: tRNA
About the family: Transfer RNA (tRNA) molecules are approximately 80 nucleotides in length. Their secondary structure includes four short double-helical elements and three loops (D, anti-codon, and T loops). Further hydrogen bonds mediate the characteristic L-shaped molecular structure. tRNAs have two regions of fundamental functional importance: the anti-codon, which is responsible for specific mRNA codon recognition, and the 3' end, to which the tRNAs corresponding amino acid is attached (by aminoacyl-tRNA synthetases). tRNAs cope with the degeneracy of the genetic code in two manners: having more than one tRNA (with a specific anti-codon) for a particular amino acid; and 'wobble' base-pairing, i.e. permitting non-standard base-pairing at the 3rd anti-codon position.
Source: RNAcentral